RNAcentral lists this ribosomal RNA (253 nucleotides) under uncultured bacterium. RNAcentral's name for it is "partial 16S ribosomal RNA". It matches the Rfam family "Bacterial small subunit ribosomal RNA", at positions 524 to 776 of the family's 1533-position model. The record is from RNAcentral.
UACGAAGGGGGCUAGCGUUGUUCGGAUUUACUGGGCGUAAAGCGCACGUAGGCGGAUCUUUAAGUCAGAGGUGAAAUCCCAAGGCUCAACCUUGGAACUGCCUUUGAUACUGGGGAUCUUGAGUCCGGGAGAGGUGAGUGGAACUGCGAGUGUAGAGGUGAAAUUCGUAGAUAUUCGCAAGAACACCGGUGGCGAAGGCGGCCAACUGGACCAUUACUGACGCUGAGGCGCGAAAGCGUGGGGAGCAAACAGG